This is a ribosomal RNA of 803 nucleotides. It matches the Rfam family "Archaeal large subunit ribosomal RNA", at positions 1644 to 2708 of the family's 2987-position model.
GUGUGUGGCAUAAUACGGAAAAAAUGUAUAGUUAGGUCUGAUAGGCUUUUCAAAUACCAGAAUAUCUUAAUGGCGCCGAAACGUAUCUAGUACGUAGGACAAAUAUAGAGUGUUUAGGCUUUAUAUACGCUUAAAUUCUAGUUAACAGCUACUAAGGUUUAACCAUCUUUAUACUAUUAGCCUUAACAUUUAUAUCAGAUAUAUUGAGGUGUUUAAGUGCUACUAUAUAAUAAUUAAGGAUUAUAUUAAAAAUGUCACCAUUAGUAGAUUAGUUUCAUAGAUGUUAAAAAUGAACUCGGCAACUAAUAUUCUCAACUGUUUAUCAAAAACAUAGCUAUAUGGUUUUAUAUAUAGUUAUUUCUGCUCAAUGCUUAAUGUAAAUAGCCGCAGUACUCUGACUGUGCAAAGGUAGCAUAAUCAAUUGGCUUAUAAUUGAAGUCUGGUAUGAAUGAAAAUAUGGGGAUUAACUGUAUCAAUAACAUUUUUUAAAAUUACUUAAUGGGUGAAAAGGCCCAUGUUUAAAUAAUAGACGAGAAGACCCUAGAAAUUUUUAAAUAUACAUUAACUGUAAAAUUUUGGUUGGGGCGACGCAGUAACAUUUUAACUUACUAAGGUGUUUCCAUAAGACUAUUAUAUUGUGAUUAAUUAAAUUACUCUAGGGAUAACAGCAUAAUAUUUUAAAGUUUGUGACCUCGAUGUUGGAUUAGGAUACUUCCGCCCAGAAGGCCAAUGGUAAGGCUCUGUUCGAGCGAAUUACUCCUACAUGAUCUGAGUUCAGACCGGCGUAAGCCAGGUCAGUUUCU